Non-coding RNA from Pelobates cultripes (western spadefoot toad), 501 nucleotides. The record is from the annotation of a GenBank genome assembly. Lineage: Eukaryota; Metazoa; Chordata; Amphibia; Anura; Pelobatidae.
CAGAGACAGCCAGCUUCCCCUGUGGCCGCCAGAAGAGCCCCCCUGUGGCCGCCAUCCAAGUUCUCCCUGCGGCUGCCAGCACACCUAUCUGUCUGCCCACCCACAGGUAGCAAAAAGCAUGUAUGUCAGUCUGUCAGUGGGAGUGUGUGUGUUUGUGUCAUGCUGUGUGUGUCUGUCUGUCAUGCUGUGUGUGUAUCUGUCUGUGCCAUGGUGUGUGUGUGUGUCUGUGUCAUGCUGUGUGUGUGUCUGUCUGUCAUGGUGUGUGUGUGUGUGUCUGUCUAUGUCAUGCUGUGUGUGGGGCUGUCUGUCAUGGUGUGUGUCUGUCUGUCUGUGUCAUGGUGUGUGUCUGUCUGUGUCAUGCUGUGUGUGUGUCUGUCUGUCAUGGCGUGUGUGUGUGUGUGCAUGUCUGUCUGUCUGUGUCAUGGUGUGUGUCUGUCUGUGUCAUGCUGUGUGUCUGUCUGUCAUGGUGUGUGUGUCUGUCUGUGCCAUGGUGUAUGUGUG